This 439-nucleotide ribosomal RNA is filed under the name uncultured bacterium. RNAcentral describes it as "partial 16S ribosomal RNA". It matches the Rfam family "Bacterial small subunit ribosomal RNA", at positions 339 to 795 of the family's 1533-position model. The record is from RNAcentral.
CUACGGGUUGCUGCAGUGGGGAAUAUUGCACAAUGGGGGAAACCCUGAUGCAGCAACGCCGCGUGGAGGAUGACGCAUUUCGGUGUGUAAACUCCUUUUAUAUCCCAAGAUAAUGACGGUAGGAUAUGAAUAAGCACCGGCUAACUCCGUGCCAGCAGCCGCGGUAAUACGGAGGGUGCAAGCGUUACUCGGAAUCACUGGGCGUAAAGGGCGCGUAGGCGGGUUGUCAAGUCUUGAGUGAAAUCCAACGGCUCAACCGUUGAACUGCUUGAGAAACUGGCAGCCUAGAGUAAGGGAGAGGUAGAUGGAAUUGGUGGUGUAGGGGUAACAUCCGUAGAGAUCACCAGGAAUACCCAUUGCGAAGGCGAUCUGCUGGAACUUUACUGACGCUGAGGCGCGAAAGCGUGGGGAGCAAACAGGAUUAGAUACCCCGGUAGUC